RNAcentral lists this ribosomal RNA (495 nucleotides) under uncultured bacterium. Its description in RNAcentral is "partial 16S ribosomal RNA". It matches the Rfam family "Bacterial small subunit ribosomal RNA", at positions 28 to 507 of the family's 1533-position model. The record is from RNAcentral.
GAUGAACGCUGGCGGCGUGCCUAAUACAUGCAAGUAGAACGCUGAGUGAGGAGCUUGCCCUUCUGGCUGAGUUGCGAACGUGGAGGUACGGCGUAGGUAAUAUGCCUGGUAGAGGGUGACAACUACUGGAAACGAUCGCUAAUACAGCACUACUACAGCCGCAGCAUGCUAACGGUCUGAAUGGGGCAGCUGUACCAACACCAGAUGGAUCAGAGUUGUAUUCGUUCGUUGGUGAGGUAACGGCGGACACAGGCGACGAUACCUAGCCGACCUGAGAGGGGGAUCGGCCACACUGGGACUGGGACACGGCCCAGAAUCCUACGGGAGGCAGCAGGAGGGAACCUUCGGCAAUGGAAGGAAGGCUGACCGAGCAACGCCGCGUGAGUGAAGAAGGUUGUCGGAUCGUAAAGCUCUGUUGUAAGAGAAGAACGAGUGUGAGAGUGGAAAGUUCACACUGUGACGGUAUCUUACCAGAAAGGGACGGCUAACUACGUG